This 492-nucleotide ribosomal RNA is filed under the name uncultured bacterium. RNAcentral's name for it is "partial 16S ribosomal RNA". It matches the Rfam family "Bacterial small subunit ribosomal RNA", at positions 29 to 507 of the family's 1533-position model. The record is from RNAcentral.
AGUGAACGCUGGCGGUAGGCCUAACACAUGCAAGUCGAACGGCAGCACAGUAAGAGCUUGCUCUUACGGGUGGCGAGUGGCGGACGGGUGAGGAAUACAUCGGAAUCUACUUUUUCGUGGGGGAUAACGUAGGGAAACUUACGCUAAUACCGCAUACGACCUACGGGUGAAAGCAGGGGAUCUUCGGACCUUGCGCGAUUGAAUGAGCCGAUGUCGGAUUAGCUAGUUGGCGGGGUAAAGGCCCACCAAGGCGACGAUCCGUAGCUGGUCUGAGAGGAUGAUCAGCCACACUGGAACGGGGACACGGUCCAGACGCCUACGGGAGGCAGCAGUGGGGAAUGUUGGACAGUGGGCGCGAGCCUGAUCCAGCCAUACCGAGUGGGUGAAGAAGGCCUUCGGGUUGUAAAGACCUUUUGUUGGGAAAGAAAAGCAGCAGGUUAAUACCCCGCUGUUCUGACGGUACCCAAAGAAUAAGCACCGGCUAACUUCGUG